UUCGCCACGCCCGCUACAAGAAACUUAAAUGAAUUGACGGGGGCCCGCACAAGCGGUGGAGUAUGUGGUUUAAUUCGAUGCAACGCGAAGAACCUUACCUGGUCUUGACAUCCCGGAGACCCUUAGGAAACUAGGGGGUGCUUCCAUCUGGAAGAAUCUGGAGACAGGUGCUGCAUGGCUGUCGUCAGCUCGUGUCGUGAGAUGUUGGGUUAAGUCCCGCAACGAGCGCAACCCUUGCCUUUAGUUGCCAGCAGUUCGGCUGGGCACUCUAAAGGGACUGCCGGUGUUAAACCGGAGGAAGGUGGGGAUGACGUCAAGUCCUCAUGGCCUUUAUGACCAGGGCUACACACGUACUACAAUGGCCGAUACAAAGGGCAGCGACACUGCGAGGUGAAGCCAAUCCCGUAAAAUCGGUCUCAGUCCGGAUUGGAGUCUGCAACUCGACUCCAUGAAGUUGGAAUCGCUAGUAAUCGUGGAUCAGCAUGCCACGGUGAAUACGUUCCCGGGCCUU
Molecule: ribosomal RNA, 511 nt
Filed under: uncultured Desulfobulbus sp.
Lineage: Bacteria; Pseudomonadati; Thermodesulfobacteriota; Desulfobulbia; Desulfobulbales; Desulfobulbaceae
Description: bacterial SSU rRNA
Rfam family: Bacterial small subunit ribosomal RNA
Source: RNAcentral